This is a long non-coding RNA of Fukomys damarensis (Damara mole-rat), 1255 nucleotides long. RefSeq lists it as uncharacterized. The record is from RefSeq and is a predicted model, not a curated record. The transcript is spliced from 4 exons. NCBI's taxonomy places the organism in Eukaryota, Metazoa, Chordata, Mammalia, Rodentia, Bathyergidae.
UUGUAUAAUAGAAGCUUCUGCUUAUGAAAAGACCGCAGUGAAGGGUGGAGCGUGAUUACGGUGGGCUGUGAGGCGUCCCAGACGAUGUCCCCGGAGAAGGCUCCUCUGCAGACCUGCAUUUCAUCUGAGAGGGAGCUUGGGGGCAAGAUCUGGGGGAGGGGCCUGGAGGGCUCCUGAUGUGGGAAAGCAGCGGCAGGAGUGGCGAUGGCCCUGCAGGGAAUGACCCUUGCCAGCUACAGGGACAGCGACAGUGACGGGCAGUGACUGGGGCCAGGAUUAAAGAAAAUUAAUGGACUACCCAGCCCUGACCUGUCCAAUGUGGUAGCUACUAAUCACAUGUGGUUAUUAAGCACUUAAAAUGUGGCUGCUCCAAAUUAAGAUAUGCAUGCAACAGUGUCAGAGGCUGGGCUUCAGGAGGAUGACUGGAUCACGAAGGUUUUCACUUCAUUGUUGGGUCCGACAUAGUCAGAGACCACAGGAGCAGAAGACAAAGAAACACCUGAGCCCUUAACCUGCUACGCAUUGAAGACCAAGAGCAUCUGUACCCAGAGGUCUCCACGGCCCAGACCCAUGGCCACCUUGGAUUCUAGCCAGACGUCACACGACUGAGACUGACCCAAGGCAGGAGAGUCCUUGUCAUGGGAACCAAAUUAUCUCUCAAGUCAUGACAGCUACAAAGUCAGUUGAGCUACAAAGCCAGGCCCGAGAGAGUGAUCAACCAGAACCCUGCCCACUAUAACAGCCCCUACAACGGAUCCCUUUCUUUCACUCAUGGGCCAGUCUGGUCCUAUUCGUCAGAGCAUGUCUCCUCCAGCUACUCAAGCUGGGGUCCUUUCCUCAUUCCCUUACUUUCUUGUUGGCCUGGAAAUGCAUCCUGUUGCUUUAGUUUUAAUUUCCAUUAGCACUAACACUAGAAGCCAUAGUAGGUAGUGACGGGAUAAGCCAUUCAUAGAUUUAUAAUUUAGUGGCAUUAUUGGGAGGGAGUGGAAACUUUAGAGGUGGCGCCUCAUUGACAGGAGUGGGUCGUGGCUGUGUGACCUUGGGGACUGUAUCUGGUCCCCAGUCCCUCCCUCUCUGGCUCCUUCCUUCUCCCUCAGCUUCCUGGCUGCCGUGAGGUGAGCAGUUGUCUCCACUUGCUCUUAUACUCCUCUGUGUCUGCAUACUACAGGCCUAAAAAAUGAUGGGGCCAGCCCACCAUGGACUGCAACCUUGGACCCCGUGAGCCAUAAUAAACCUUAACUCCUCUAAGUCAUUU